AUACGUAGGUGGCAAGCGUUGUCCGGAUUUACUGGGUGUAAAGGGUGCGUAGGCGGCUCUGCAAGUCAGGUGUGAAAACCAUCGGCUUAACUGAUGGACUGCAUUUGAAACUGUGGGGCUUGAGUGGAGUAGGGGCAGACGGAAUUCCCGGUGUAGCGGUGAAAUGCGUAGAGAUCGGGAAGAACACUAGUGGCGAAGGCGGUUUGCUGGGCUCUAACUGACGCUGAGGCACGAAAGCAUGGGUAGCAAACAGGAUUAGAUACCCUGGUAGUCCAUGCCGUAAACGAUGAUUACUAGGUGUGGGGAGUCUGACCCUCUCCGUGCCGGAGUUAACACAAUAAGUAAUCCACCUGGGAAGUACGACCGCAAGGUUGAA
This 376-nucleotide ribosomal RNA is filed under the name uncultured bacterium. Its description in RNAcentral is "bacterial SSU rRNA". It matches the Rfam family "Bacterial small subunit ribosomal RNA", at positions 523 to 898 of the family's 1533-position model. The record is from RNAcentral.